This 440-nucleotide ribosomal RNA is filed under the name uncultured bacterium. Its description in RNAcentral is "partial 16S ribosomal RNA". It matches the Rfam family "Bacterial small subunit ribosomal RNA", at positions 338 to 795 of the family's 1533-position model. The record is from RNAcentral.
CCUACGGGAGGCAGCAGUAGGGAAUAUUGCUCAAUGGGGGAAACCCUGAAGCAGCAACGCCGCGUGGAGGAUGAAGGUUUUCGGAUUGUAAACUCCUUUUGUUAGAGAAGAUAAUGACGGUAUCUAACGAAUAAGCACCGGCUAACUCCGUGCCAGCAGCCGCGGUAAUACGGAGGGUGCAAGCGUUACUCGGAAUAAUUGGGCGUAAAGAGCGCGUAGGCGGGAUAGCAAGUCAGAUGUGAAAGCCUAGGGCUUAACCAUAGAACUGCAUUUGAAACUGUUAUUCUAGAGUAUGGGAGAGGUAGGUGGAAUUCUUGGUGUAGGGGUAAAAUCCGUAGAGAUCAAGAGGAAUACUCAUUGCGAAGGCGACCUGCUAGAACAUAACUGACGCUGAUGCGCGAAAGCGUGGGGAGCAAACAGGAUUAGAUACCCUUGUAGUC